RNAcentral lists this ribosomal RNA (276 nucleotides) under uncultured prokaryote. RNAcentral describes it as "partial 16S ribosomal RNA". It matches the Rfam family "Bacterial small subunit ribosomal RNA", at positions 524 to 800 of the family's 1533-position model. The record is from RNAcentral.
UACGAAGGGGCUAGCGUUGCUCGGAAUUACUGGGCGUAAAGGGAGCGUAGGCGGACAUUUAAGUCAGGGGUGAAAUCCCGGGGCUCAACCUCGGAAUUGCCUUUGAUACUGGGUGUCUUGAGUAUGAGAGAGGUGUGUGGAACUCCGAGUGUAGAGGUGAAAUUCGUAGAUAUUCGGAAGAACACCAGUGGCGAAGGCGACACACUGGCUCAUUACUGACGCUGAGGCUCGAAAGCGUGGGGAGCAAACAGGAUUAGAUACCCCGGUAGUCCCUGA